AUGAACUCUGCUCUGCAGUGCCUGCUGGGGCUGCCAGCAUUUUGCAGAGACAUUCUGAGACAGCAGAAUAUCUGGAGUUCCUCCCCCUCCUCUAAACUGCUAUGCUGCUUUGCUGAGUUACAUCAGGCCAGGCUUUCUGGAGGCACUGUUAAUGCUAAGAACAAGGAAAAUAAGAAAAUCCUUCAAACAGUCAAGCGCUGUCUUUCCGUUGUCAAUGAGGACUAUGAGGAAGACUAUGAACAGGUAAGAUAUUAUUUGCUAAAAGACUCACUUAACAAUAAACCUGGGACACGUGACAGUGUUUUUCCUCAGCUCUGUUUCAGUUGUAGUUGUUGAUGUAUUUUCUGCUUCUUUCCCAUUCUUCUCUUAGGAUGCCCAUGAAUGUGUGUUGCUCCUCCUCUUUCAGCUGAAGGAGGAGGGUAUGGCAUUAAAGGGCUCACCAGAGCCAUACACCUGCCCCGUGAAGCAGUUAGAAUUCAAGCUGAAGACUUCCCGUACCUGCACCAGGUAACAGCUGUCAUUUGUAUACGGUGUACCUUGAUGUCGUCAUCACAUUUGUGAAGAGGUUUAAUGUCAGCAUAACAUGCAGGAUACAGAGGUAAAGCAUUAAGAUAGUGUGUAGAGGGAUCAAAAGGUUUGUGUUGAAUAGUUGAUGCAUUUCUCUCCGUACUUCUGAAGCUGUGGAGUUAUAGUGUAUGGUCAGGAGGAUUACAAUCACUUGUCCCUGAGCCUGAGCCAUUACCUGCCACACAGCCUGGACCUCUACUUUAAGGUCAGCGCUUAGCUUAAACCAAUAGUUAGUAUGUCAAGGAACACUAUCAUUAAUGUCAUAAUGUUCAUAAUUGUAUUGCUAUCCUUUGUCACCUAGCCAUCUGCGUUAGAGUGUGCAUGCAGGGUGUGCUCAGGCAGCAUGGCAUCUGUGACUAGGCACUUCCUCACGCUGCCCCGGUGAGUCCCCCCAUCAUCAUCUCAGAUUACAAUUGACAGUCCUGAUCUAACUCACCAAACUGGGUUAUUGAUUUGAGUACAAGACUGAUUCCUUUGUCUGUGUGAAUGCCUACCUGGUCGUCUGUGUCUGUCUGUGUGAAUGCCUGCCUGGUCGUCCGUCCA
Molecule: long non-coding RNA, 1110 nt
Filed under: Oncorhynchus mykiss (rainbow trout)
Lineage: Eukaryota; Metazoa; Chordata; Actinopteri; Salmoniformes; Salmonidae
Description: lncRNA (ENSOMYG00000055691.1)
Source: RNAcentral